UAGUGCACAACAGAUCCUCGAGAUCAAGGGAACUCAAAUGGCGCGCUCCUCCACCGUUGCCGCUGCAGCCUUCGUCCUUGUGGCCACGAUGGCCGUGUCAUCGGCGAGUGCCGCUCGCACUCUGAGCGAACGGAACGCCGCAACCGCAAAGGAAGCAAGCAAAGGCGGCGCUCUCCCGUCCGGCGCCGACUUCCUCAAGCUCGGCGAGGGCGUCGUCUUCGUCCCCGAGAAGGCCGGGGUUCCCUGCAUUCACCGGUACGAGAAGGUGCCUAUAUUCGGCCCGUGACUAUUGCGACAACCUGCUGGGUGAGCGCGCGAGAGGAACGGCCUUCUCCCGUUCUGCGGCCGUUCAAUAAAAGAAACGAACCUGAAUUUUCGCUAUGCGCCUACUGCUACUUGUAUCUUUGUUUGCUUGAUGCGCCGUUAAAUUGGUCAA
RNAcentral lists this long non-coding RNA (436 nucleotides) under Setaria viridis. Its description in RNAcentral is "long non-coding RNA (SVIR_LNC002827)". Lineage: Eukaryota; Viridiplantae; Streptophyta; Magnoliopsida; Poales; Poaceae. The record is from RNAcentral.